Molecule: long non-coding RNA, 782 nt
Organism: Aegilops tauschii subsp. strangulata
Lineage: Eukaryota; Viridiplantae; Streptophyta; Magnoliopsida; Poales; Poaceae
Source: RefSeq, a predicted model, not a curated record
AGUCGCCAGAAAGAAAAGAAAAACUCGUGGAAUCUUUCCCAGUCUCACUCUCGUGCUUCUCUUCUCUCCACUUCGAGGCGACAAAGGCGGCGGCGGGGACGGAGUGGACGGCGGCGGCGAGUCUCCGGUGGAAAGCUCCCAGCGUAGGCUACUCUCCGGAGUGAAGCUUCCAGCAUCGACGAUCUGCCACGUAGCCCGGCCGAAACCCUAGCUCCCCGCUUCGUGCCAUCUCCCCCGCCGCCUCACUCCGGAGAAGAGGAAGCCGCCGGCGACAAGAUCACCAGCUCGAACCACCGUUCUGAUGAACGGCAGCAGCAAACUUCAAAUCUGCAUAUGCCCGAAGUAUGGAAAUGUCUUCUGUUGCGCGGAUUCAACCGACCCCUGCUUUCCGUCCAAAAUGGAGUGCGUUAAAGGCUGCGGAUGCGGUGCGGACGCGCAAUCCACUCCUCAUGCCCUGCCAUGACCUUCUGGCUUGGUUCUGAUGGUGUUUGAUGCUACCGUGAGGAAGAAAUAACUAUGUAAUCGAAGUUCUGAAUAAAGAACCAUGAGGCAGAGUCAUAUGCUAUGUUUUGUGAUUUAUGUCUGGUGAUGGCGUGGACCUCCUGUAUGAAAGAUUAUAUUAUUUGCCCAGCAAUGUGUUUUGGGAUGCUAGAAUUUGAUGAGCUGACAAAGGCUGAGCCAAGGGACAAUUCACUAUUGUGGAUCUGCAACCUCGUAUGUCUUCCGUCUAUUUUCAGAGAAGUGAUUCAGUUGAACUGAAUAGAGAAUGUAAUAGCUAUAUA